This is a long non-coding RNA of Triticum dicoccoides, 1487 nucleotides long. RefSeq lists it as uncharacterized. The record is from RefSeq and is a predicted model, not a curated record. Lineage: Eukaryota; Viridiplantae; Streptophyta; Magnoliopsida; Poales; Poaceae. The transcript is spliced from 4 exons.
CUCCCCUGCUUGUCGUGUCGCGCCGCCCCUGCCCGCUGGCAUCUCGUAGCCCCUCCUCGCUGGCCUCGCGCCGCCGCCCAUCAGCCAUGCGCGCCACGCCACCGCCCCAAACCCCCACCACCCACAGACCUCGAGCACCGCCGUGGGCCGUGGAUCUGGGGCGCCGACGCCUGGCUCUGGAUUCCGCCCACCGCCGCCAUGCUCCCUGACUGAAGACGAGCAAGCCCGCAGCCCCUUCACUCACGUAGCCUCCUCCCGAUGGGGAUCCAUCAUCGCGGCGUUCGGCAUCACCACCUCCGGCUGUUCAACGACGGAGCUCCUGGAUGUUCACCACAUCAGCGCCCAAAUCCCAGCCAUCCAGGGAUCUCCGACACAACUCCACCCCUCUCCGCCCCUGCAUCACCUCCUCUACCGGCGUUGAAGCCAUCGUCGACCCUGUGGAACAAAUGCUGGUGCCGCCCCCCAAGAACCCGAGCCGCCGCCCACCACCAUGAUCCUGCACAGCGCGCUAGUGGCUCCUCCUGAACCCAACGCCCUGUACCCCCAUCUCCUCCAUGUCCUGGUCGUCACUCACACACGAGGAUGGUGCUGGUCUGGCUCCAUGCUUCAGACCUGGAGAGGAGGUAGCUGCCUCACACCUAGGACGGCUUCCCAUCAGUCCAACUACACUGCUAGUCCCCGUCCAGGUUUGUACAAUCAUAGGCUGUCCUACUUUUACAUGGAUUUUUCCUAAACAUCAAUAAAGGAUGAGAUUGAGGAGCAUAAAUGGACUACGGUGUAAGCAGCUUAAACUUGUCCUUCUUGCUUUCUUCAUAAUGUUUAUUCUCUGGAAAUGGGAGGAAGGAACAUACUACAAUACUGAAGAUAUCCACCCAGAUUCAUUGGUUGUGUCUCAUCCAGCUAACUCAAAGUUUGUAGAUCAGCAUACAUCUUCAGAUGAAGACUUCCCAAGUGUAGAUUCAUUGCCACAAUCAGGUGUUCAGGUAGGAAGUUACCGGCGCACAACCACCAGUGCCACUUGUCGGUGUUCCUGCUAAUGUGGGAGGUGAACAGGGGGCAUCACCUUCUAAGUCAAAAGGUCACGAAAUUCACAACUUGUCGUCGGGGAUCCUGAAGAAAAUACAUGUGGGUUUGGCAUGUCUCACAUCCUGCAACAACGAGCCUCUGCAAGCACCGAGCCGCCGGUGUUCCAUCCACAAAUCUGAGAGGGAUGUAAAAGCGGCUGUGGCAUCUUGUCAGCUGCCCAUCAAAUGUAAUCCUAUUAUGUUGUCCUUCAGUAGCAGUUCAACAAAAAAACUGCAGCAAUUCUACAUGGGAAACUAUGAUAUUUCAGGUCUGCUACUAUGUACGUGCUUGUUGGUAUGCCAAUGAGUAUAUACAUUUUGUGUUUGUUCUUUUCCCCUUCGGCUUUCUCUGCCAUGGAUGUGUGCAUGCGUGCUAUGUGCGUGAGUAAGCUACAGCAAUUUGUGUAAAAUAAGCAUCUUCAA